This 704-nucleotide ribosomal RNA is filed under the name uncultured Alphaproteobacteria bacterium. RNAcentral's name for it is "bacterial SSU rRNA". It matches the Rfam family "Bacterial small subunit ribosomal RNA", at positions 28 to 776 of the family's 1533-position model. Lineage: Bacteria; Pseudomonadati; Pseudomonadota; Alphaproteobacteria. The record is from RNAcentral.
AGCGAACGCUGGCGGCAGGCUUAACACAUGCAAGUCGAACGGGCGUAGCAAUACGUCAGUGGCAGACGGGUGAGUAACGCGUGGGAACGUACCUUUUGGUUCGGAACAACACAGGGAAACUUGUGCUAAUACCGGAUAAGCCCUUACGGGGAAAGAUUUAUCCCCGAAAGAUCGGCCCGCGUCUGAUUAGCUAGUUGGUGAGGUAACGGCUCACCAAGGCGACGAUCAGUAGCUGGUCUGAGAGGAUGAUCAGCCACAUUGGGACUGAGACACGGCCCAAACUCCUACGGGAGGCAGCAGUGGGGAAUAUUGGACAAUGGGCGCAAGCCUGAUCCAGCCAUGCCGCGUGAGUGAUGAAGGCCCUAGGGUUGUAAAGCUCUUUUGUGCGGGAAGAUAAUGACGGUACCGCAAGAAUAAGCCCCGGCUAACUUCGUGCCAGCAGCCGCGGUAAUACGAAGGGGGCUAGCGUUGCUCGGAAUCACUGGGCGUAAAGGGUGCGUAGGCGGGUCUUUAAGUCAGAGGUGAAAUCCUGGAGCUCAACUCCAGAACUGCCUUUGAUACUGAGGAUCUUGAGUUCGGGAGAGGUGAGUGGAACUGCGAGUGUAGAGGUGAAAUUCGUAGAUAUUCGCAAGAACACCAGUGGCGAAGGCGGCUCACUGGCCCGAUACUGACGCUGAGGCACGAAAGCGUGGGGAGCAAACAGG